Molecule: long non-coding RNA, 974 nt
Organism: Chroicocephalus ridibundus (black-headed gull)
Lineage: Eukaryota; Metazoa; Chordata; Aves; Charadriiformes; Laridae
Exons: 4
Source: RefSeq, a predicted model, not a curated record
UACGGCGCGGCCGGGCCCGGCUGUGGCUGGGCCCGCGUCGCCCCUUCCGCGGGCGGGGAAGCAGAGGCCGCGGUACAAAUGAGGGUCGGCAGACGAGGUUGUGAAGAUUUGCAUUGCAUUCGCUGCAACCUGAAGCUGUUGCACGUUAUUAGAGUAAUAUUUUCUCCCCGUAUACAUUCGGGGAUGUGGUUAUGUUGUCCCUAAAUAAGGGCUCCCCACCCGGCGUGGGACAGGCAGCCAACGCGCCCCGUCGAGAUACUCGGGUUUAUUUCAGUUCUGCAGAAUUGAGUACCAGCUGUUUAACAGCAACCAGCACACCUGGCCUUUCAAACCGCCCGAUAUUUAGAACGAUAAAAUACAGCUCAUUGGCUAAUUGAGCCCCUCAGCACUCCUAACGUCAGCAACUGCAAAAGACCCCGUAAGACGCAUUGUUUUGUUCUGGAUCCUGCUCAAGACUGACCCUCUGCACACAAAGUGUGCACAUUCACCCAGACACUACUUGAGCUACAGCAUCUUCCCAAACUGCCCCACGGUCUGCAGCGGUUUGCUGAAAGCUACACGAUUUCCGAGAAAACCUCUACAAUAAAGCUAGAGGAGGAGGAAGAGGAGGCCCCACAGAAGUCCUUAACGUUCAGACUGCUUUAAUCUAAUUAAAAGUUCAGCACUGGGAGACUGCAGGAAGAGGAGUCACUGUUCAGAGCUGAACCAUGAGGACUCGGGAGGUUUUGGGGGACUGAAGUUGGGCGCAACUGCUAAGGUAGUGAACAGCUGGCAGUCUGUAUGUUCAUGUACAUAUUAAAACAAAAGGGAAUUACAGGAACUUGGUGGUAGUAAGGAUAUAGCUUGGAUUUAAGUGUUGUUCUAAAGUGUCUCUUUUCAAAAAUUCUGGCUAUGGUAAUAUUUCAGUACUUAGUUGAGUUUCAUUCUGCUUUUUAACACUGCCUUCCUUAUGAAUUAAAAAUGUGUUACUCUUG